AACGCAAAUUGCGCUUGAGGCUUCGGCCAAGAGCAUGUCUGCCUCAGCGUCGGGUAAAAACUCGCUCUACAAACCUUCUGGGUGCGUGCAGGAGCGGAACUGACUGUCUCAGUAAGGCUUCACAGCUGUGCUGGGUCAGUUGAAGUUUGCAGCUGUUGGUACAUGGACCCGCUCAAUGGGCCUCUACUGGGUAGGCAACACGUUUGCUCUAUGCUUUAGUAGACGGCUUAGGAUCUGUGUUAUGCCAGCACAAAGCAGGAAUGCGCCAUGUGUGCAUUACAACCUUUUUCUCGACCUGAGCUCAGGCAAGAUUACCCGCUGAACUUAA
RNAcentral lists this unclassified non-coding RNA (328 nucleotides) under uncultured fungus. Its description in RNAcentral is "partial contains 5.8S rRNA and ITS2". The record is from RNAcentral. Lineage: Eukaryota; Fungi.